This 330-nucleotide ribosomal RNA is filed under the name uncultured bacterium. RNAcentral's name for it is "bacterial SSU rRNA". It matches the Rfam family "Bacterial small subunit ribosomal RNA", at positions 8 to 334 of the family's 1533-position model. The record is from RNAcentral.
AGGGUUUGAUUAUGGCUCAGGAUGAACGCUAGCUACAGGCUUAACACAUGCAAGUCGAGGGGCAUCAGGGUGUAGCAAUACACCGCUGGCGACCGGCGCACGGGUGAGUAACACGUAUCCAACCUGCCCUUUACUCGGGGAUAGCCUUUCGAAAGAAAGAUUAAUACCCGAUGGUAUAACAUGACCUCCUGGUUUUGUUAUUAAAGAAUUUCGGUAGAGGAUGGGGAUGCGUUCCAUUAGGCAGUUGGCGGGGUAACGGCCCACCAAACCUUCGAUGGAUAGGGGUUCUGAGAGGAAGGUCCCCCACAUUGGAACUGAGACACGGUCCAA